This 1372-nucleotide ribosomal RNA is filed under the name uncultured bacterium. Its description in RNAcentral is "bacterial SSU rRNA". It matches the Rfam family "Bacterial small subunit ribosomal RNA", at positions 28 to 1381 of the family's 1533-position model. The record is from RNAcentral.
GAUGAACGCUGGCGGCGUGCCUAAUACAUGCAAGUCGAGCGAACAGACGAGGAGCUUGCUUCUCUGACGUUAGCGGCGGACGGGUGAGUAACACGUGGAUAACCUACCUAUAAGACUGGGAUAACUUCGGGAAACCGGAGCUAAUACCGGAUAAUAUUUUGAACCGCAUGGUUCAAAAGUGAAAGACGGUCUUGCUGUCACUUAUAGAUGGAUCCGCGCUGCAUUAGCUAGUUGGUAAGGUAACGGCUUACCAAGGCAACGAUGCAUAGCCGACCUGAGAGGGUGAUCGGCCACACUGGAACUGAGACACGGUCCAGACUCCUACGGGAGGCAGCAGUAGGGAAUCUUCCGCAAUGGGCGAAAGCCUGACGGAGCAACGCCGCGUGAGUGAUGAAGGUCUUCGGAUCGUAAAACUCUGUUAUUAGGGAAGAACAUAUGUGUAAGUAACUGUGCACAUCUUGACGGUACCUAAUCAGAAAGCCACGGCUAACUACGUGCCAGCAGCCGCGGUAAUACGUAGGUGGCAAGCGUUAUCCGGAAUUAUUGGGCGUAAAGCGCGCGUAGGCGGUUUUUUAAGUCUGAUGUGAAAGCCCACGGCUCAACCGUGGAGGGUCAUUGGAAACUGGAAAACUUGAGUGCAGAAGAGGAAAGUGGAAUUCCAUGUGUAGCGGUGAAAUGCGCAGAGAUAUGGAGGAACACCAGUGGCGAAGGCGACUUUCUGGUCUGUAACUGACGCUGAUGUGCGAAAGCGUGGGGAUCAAACAGGAUUAGAUACCCUGGUAGUCCACGCCGUAAACGAUGAGUGCUAAGUGUUAGGGGGUUUCCGCCCCUUAGUGCUGCAGCUAACGCAUUAAGCACUCCGCCUGGGGAGUACGACCGCAAGGUUGAAACUCAAAGGAAUUGACGGGGACCCGCACAAGCGGUGGAGCAUGUGGUUUAAUUCGAAGCAACGCGAAGAACCUUACCAAAUCUUGACAUCCUUUGACAACUCUAGAGAUAGAGCCUUCCCCUUCGGGGGACAAAGUGACAGGUGGUGCAUGGUUGUCGUCAGCUCGUGUCGUGAGAUGUUGGGUUAAGUCCCGCAACGAGCGCAACCCUUAAGCUUAGUUGCCAUCAUUAAGUUGGGCACUCUAAGUUGACUGCCGGUGACAAACCGGAGGAAGGUGGGGAUGACGUCAAAUCAUCAUGCCCCUUAUGAUUUGGGCUACACACGUGCUACAAUGGACAAUACAAAGGGCAGCGAAACCGCGAGGUCAAGCAAAUCCCAUAAAGUCGUUCUCAGUUCGGAUUGUAGUCUGCAACUCGACUACAUGAAGCUGGAAUCGCUAGUAAUCGUAGAUCAGCAUGCUACGGUGAAUACGUUCCCGGGUCU